AUUGAACGCUGGCGGCAUGCCUUACACAUGCAAGUCGAACGGCAGCACGGGAGCAAUCCUGGUGGCGAGUGGCGAACGGGUGAGUAAUGUAUCGGAACGUACCUUUCAGUGGGGGAUAACGUAGCGAAAGUUACGCUAAUACCGCAUAUUCUGUGAGCAGGAAAGCAGGGGAUCGCAAGACCUUGCGCUGAUUGAGCGGCCGAUAUCAGAUUAGCUAGUUGGUGAGGUAAAGGCUCACCAAGGCGACGAUCUGUAGCGGGUCUGAGAGGAUGAUCCGCCACACUGGAACUGAGACACGGUCCAGACUCCUACGGGAGGCAGCAGUGGGGAAUUCUGGACAAUGGGCGCAAGCCUGAUCCAGCCAUGCCGCGUGAGUGAAGAAGGCC
This 386-nucleotide ribosomal RNA is filed under the name uncultured bacterium. Its description in RNAcentral is "bacterial SSU rRNA". It matches the Rfam family "Bacterial small subunit ribosomal RNA", at positions 30 to 416 of the family's 1533-position model. The record is from RNAcentral.